AUGCCCAAGAGAGGGAGGUGGUCUGGUGUGGGGAAGGUUGAGUAUGAGGCGAAGAAGGUAAGGAUUGCAUUGUUAAAAGAACAGGUAGCCCGGUUAGAGAGAGUGGUUGCGCUGGAGAAAGAGAGAGCAAAAGAGACCAACCAACGCUUUGAGAAGGCCAAGGAAGAGAGCUCUGGAACUGUGGCCAGGUAUCUCUUCAUGAAUGAAGAGGAUCUUAGCCUUGAGGAGUGCAAGGAGUACUGCCAAGAGCUCAUGCGGAUCAACCAAGAAAUUGCAAAUCGAUUGUCCUUAGAGUCCGUGGGCUCAAAUGUGCCAGCACUGCAGCUGCACUUGUCUUCAGUCGAAUCACAAACUAAGGAAGAAAAGUAG
This 369-nucleotide ribosomal RNA is filed under the name Triticum aestivum (bread wheat). Its description in RNAcentral is "partial small subunit ribosomal RNA". The record is from RNAcentral. Lineage: Eukaryota; Viridiplantae; Streptophyta; Magnoliopsida; Poales; Poaceae.